GAUGAAGAACGCAGCGAAAUGCGAUAAGUAAUGUGAAUUGCAGAAUUCAGUGAAUCAUCGAAUCUUUGAACGCACAUUGCGCCCGCCAGUAUUCUGGCGGGCAUGCCUGUCUGAGCGUCAUUUCAACCCUCAGCCCCCGCUCGCGGGGCGCUGGCGUUGGGGAUCGGCCGUCCUCGCGGCGGCCGGCCCCGAAACACAGUGGCGGUCUCUAGCGGACUCCCCUGCGUAGUAGCACUACCUCGCAGAAGGGACGAGCGGGCUGACCACGCCGUAAAACCCCCCACUUCUCCAGGUUGACCUCAGAUCAGGUAGGAAUACCCGCUGAACUUAAGCAUAUCAAUAAGCGGAGGA
Molecule: unclassified non-coding RNA, 351 nt
Filed under: soil metagenome
Description: partial contains 5.8S ribosomal RNA, internal transcribed spacer 2, and large subunit ribosomal RNA
Rfam family: 5.8S ribosomal RNA (bases 1-120)
Source: RNAcentral